RNAcentral lists this ribosomal RNA (453 nucleotides) under Corynebacterium aurimucosum. RNAcentral describes it as "bacterial SSU rRNA". The record is from RNAcentral. Lineage: Bacteria; Bacillati; Actinomycetota; Actinomycetes; Mycobacteriales; Corynebacteriaceae.
GAACGCUGGCGGCGUGCUUAACACAUGCAAGUCGAACGGAAAGGCCAGUGCUUGCACUGGURCUCGAGUGGCGAACGGGUGAGUAACACGUGGGUGAUCUGCCUUGCACUCUGGGAUAAGCUUGGGAAACUGGGUCUAAUACCGGAUAUGAACUGCCUUUAGUGUGGUGGUUGGAAAGUUUUUUCGGUGCAAGAUGAGCUCGCGGCCUAUCAGCUUGUUGGUGGGGUAAUGGCCUACCAAGGCGUCGACGGGUAGCCGGCCUGAGAGGGUGUACGGCCACAUUGGGACUGAGAUACGGCCCAGACUCCUACGGGAGGCAGCAGUGGGGAAUAUUGCACAAUGGGCGGAAGCCUGAUGCAGCGACGCCGCGUGGGGGAUGACGGCCUUCGGGUUGUAAACUCCUUUCGACAGGGACGAAGCGYAAGUGACGGUACCUGUAUAAGAAGCACCGGC